AACAAAACCAGUACUCAGAACUUUUCUCCUGGAGUGGAGAAAUAGUCAUACAUGCUCUGGGUAGAUGGAAUCUAGAAAACAGAACUUCUAAAUGAAUGAAAAGGUUUUCUUGCACAACUUAAAUUUUUAAUUUAAAAAGAAUUAUUACCUCAUUUUUUUUUUCACUCCGCAAAGUGCUUUGCUUAAGUGUCUGGGCUGUCAGACCCUGUGAUUAAAACCCCCUUCACCCAAACGUCUUUGAAUAUGCAGAAUGCCCAGCGGAAGGGAGUGUGAGUGCUGGGCGGGGCUUGGGUGCUGGGCGGGGCUUGGGUGCUGGGCGGGGCUUGGGUGCUGGGCGGAGUUUUUCUUUUUUUCCCAGCAACUGGGUGAACGGGUGUCCUUUCUUUCAGCACAUGUGAGCAAAGCACUCAGUAUUUAAUUCCUGACAGAAAGGGAAGUUCUGCAGUUUGAUUGGUGAGAGAGACUAUGACUAUGGGCUGCUAAAACCAUCAUUUGAUGGCUAUCAUUUGAUCUCAGUAGUUCUUGAUUUAUUGGCGUGUUUUAGCUCUAAUCAUGAGAAACAGUAGUCAUUUUAAUCUUAAAUUUUCCCUCAGGACAUUCAGGGACGCCAAGCCGCGCACCCCCACCCCCACACUCCUAGUAACCAUUUAUUCUCUUGGAGUAAACUUUCAGUCUAGUGGUGAACAUUUUUCAUCUGGAAAGAGCUUAGCUGCUGUUUCACUGAAAUUGUGAAAUAAAAUGAUGAUAAUGACUUUUCCCAGUUAUGAGACAGCUUUCCAUUUCUCCAGGCUGCCCUCUCACAGAACACAGUUUAAGAUAAGGAAAGAGCAGGCUCCUGGCUGUUCCAGCCUCACGGUCUCCAUUAUUCUAUCGGGAGUGUAAGGAUCGUAAUUGCACUUUCUCGUGUUCACACAUAACUUGGUGCUUUUUAACAGUAAAGAGAAAGCAGGCCCCGGACUCAUUGUACUUUUAUCUGGGAUUGUAAAACUCUUUAAAUGUGCGUGUAUGUUCACUUUAUAAGAUUUCGAUAUACGUUAAUAAUCCAUUACAUCUCAGGCUCUGCGAGUGGUCUGACGUAUCCUUGCCAAGCAGCUUGGUUCAGUGUGGUAUUAUCCAUGAGAUCGAGGCAGGAUCUCACCUCUCUGUGGGCCCUCUGAUGUUUACAGAGGGGAAACCGUGACUUUCCUAUCACAUGCUUCUUCUGAACCCUAAGUAAGAAACUGAUGCCUGCGCCAUUGCUCCGAUACUUAAGUGCUAACCAAGAAACUGUAAAAGCAAAUACCAAAAGCAUUUCACUCUGUCACGCCCCACAAAAGAGUCUAAGCUUGUUUGAUUAUGAGGUUGUUGAAAGAACAUGGUUUUCGGAUUUUAACAUUUUCCGCUAUCAUUGAAUGCUUCUUUUAUAUGUUAGGUCAUGUUCAUGAUUUUUAUUUCUGCAAUUGUGUUCUAAUGAAUUGUGUGCACGCCAGCUUACCCAAGGAAAAAACAUGCAGUUUGCUCUGGGCUGUUAAUCUGUUAGAGAGGUUCCGGCUCAUUUGCAAUCAUGGUGCAAUAUAGCAUGAUAUCCAUUUGUUUUCAGUCCACAGUUUUAUUUUUGUCAUAAUAAAUACUUUUCCAAUAUG
Molecule: long non-coding RNA, 1622 nt
Filed under: Rattus norvegicus (Norway rat)
Lineage: Eukaryota; Metazoa; Chordata; Mammalia; Rodentia; Muridae
Description: long non-coding RNA NONRATT012645
Source: RNAcentral